RNAcentral lists this ribosomal RNA (208 nucleotides) under uncultured bacterium. RNAcentral describes it as "partial 16S ribosomal RNA". It matches the Rfam family "Bacterial small subunit ribosomal RNA", at positions 1293 to 1500 of the family's 1533-position model. The record is from RNAcentral.
UCGGACUGUAGUCUGCAACCCGACUACACGAAGCUGGAAUCGCUAGUAAUCGCGAAUCAGAAUGUCGCGGUGAAUACGUUCCCGGGUCUUGUACACACCGCCCGUCACACCAUGGGAGUCGGGAAUGCCCGAAGUCUGUAGUCUAACCGCAAGGAGGACGCAGUCGAAGGUGGGAUUGAUGACUGGGGUGAAGUCGUAACAAGGUAUC